RNAcentral lists this long non-coding RNA (1098 nucleotides) under Oryctolagus cuniculus (rabbit). RNAcentral describes it as "lncRNA (ENSOCUG00000034158.1)". The record is from RNAcentral. Lineage: Eukaryota; Metazoa; Chordata; Mammalia; Lagomorpha; Leporidae.
CAAAAAAAUCCACCAACAUGAAGCAAGUAUAGAUUUUUCAGAAAGAUUUUCACAAUGCCCCUGCAGGAACUUGACAGUGCCCAGACAUGCUACUCCUGCAUGGUCAGGACUAUUUGCUAGUGCAAAGACCUGGUCUGUUUGGGAGCCCAUUACUUUCAUUCAUUAAUAUUCAUGACAUUGAGUGGAGGUGGAGAAUGGGGCAUGAAAAUCCAUAAUACAGAUCAUCAUCAAACAAUAUGGAUUUUUGAUUUCUAAAAAUUUUGUAUUAAGAUUUGAAAAAUACCCUUAAAAAUCAAAAGAUGACUCUGUGAACUUGGGGCAGCUCAAUAUCGAGGCCCUUCUUUGAGGCAUCCUGCACUACCAUUGUUCCAGCUUUUCCUACUUCCUUUUGGCACUUGGCAUGGAAACAGACAGCAACUCUCUCACUCUAACCAUGCUGUAAGUCAGAGAAGGGCUCUCUUCUUCCUGCUGAGAUAUCCCUCCCUCUCCUUUUUUUCAGAGGUGAAUGCUGGGGUGGAGACAACAACGAUGGAAGUAUAAGAGAUCUGGAAGUGCUGAAGAAGUGACUGAGUCACUAUUUGAAGCAGGGUGUGGCUUCUGUGGAGCCUUGGCUGGGGCCUGGACUACUGAACACCUGAAACAGAUUUCCAAAAUGAGAGCUGACAUUUACUGAGUGGCACGUAUCAGGCCCUGUAUGGAAACUUUCCAGCUGUUGUCUGAGUUCAUCCUCAUGGAAAUGCCAUGAAGCAGGAGCCGUUACCAUCUCUGCUAUGCACCUGAGAAAGUCGGGCUUGCGGAGGGUAAGUAGCUCUACCCAUGGUCAGCCGGUCACUAGCAGAGCUAGAAUCUGAAUCUUAGCAUCCACGUGGCCACAGACAGUAAUCCGACUCCCAAACAUGGAAUGGGCUCUCCUUUUCUCUCCUAGAGUUCAAUGUAAGUCAAGGUCAGGAAAGUCCUGCAGAUAGAAAUAUCUGUUUUUAAGACUUGCAUACAAAUAUGAGGAGUCUUUUCACAAAAUUGCCUAUCAUGAAAAAUCUAUGUGCAGAGUUAGAAUUUUUUUGUGCUCAAAUAAAUGUGUCUUUUAAAUCUAAUUUUACA